This 195-nucleotide non-coding RNA is filed under the name Aureimonas altamirensis. Lineage: Bacteria; Pseudomonadati; Pseudomonadota; Alphaproteobacteria; Hyphomicrobiales; Aurantimonadaceae. The record is from RNAcentral.
UCUAUUGUGCCGCGCGACGGUGCCCCGAAAGGGCUUCAAAGGGAACGCAGUGCGCCAUCCGGCCAUGCUGCGGCUGCCCCCGCAACUGUAGGCGGAGACUGCCUUGCCAUUAUGCCACUGGGGCCAGCGCCCCGGGAAGGCGGCACGGCGGAAGGACCCGCGAGCCAGGAGACCUGCCGUCAGCCGUGGUUGCAC